CAAAUCGAAAAGAACUGUCCCUCUAUUUUCUUCAUUCUACGGUGUGACGUACCUCUAUUCUCCCCAAAAUAGAAGAACAGCAAAAUCAACAAGGAGAAUUCGGAACCACUGGCUCGGAUUACUGACACAAAUGGCGCUUUGAUUCCACCAUUGGAAAUUGUUGCCAUGCUUUCUUAGACUCUGUUAUUCUCAUUUAGUUGUCUACUUCUGUAUUUCAAGUUCUGCGUAAAGAAUAUUUUAAUUGCAUACUCUCUGCAUUAAUGUUGCUUAUUUUUCUCUACUCUUAUAACUGCUAAUUAUUGUGUGUAAAAGAAAGAGUGUCAAACAAAUUGGGAUUAGAGAAGUACUAAUAAAUCAUCUCAAAUGAUGUUUAUUGAUCCAAGUUCAAGUGGAGUCUGAGGAACUGGGAUUGUUCAAUGCUGAAGUUGCUAAGAAAGAAAAAUGACAAGGAAAGAGAUAUCUGGUAGUUGUCCUUGGCCAUGAAAUCACCAAGUAGUCAUCUUCACAACUAAUUGGUAAAAUAAUUUAUUUAAUAAUGAUAAUACAUUCACUUUUCAAGUGGGACUAAUUCGAAUUAGUGGCUAAGUUUGUUUUUCACUUAGUUGUUCAAUCUACAUUUAAUGAUUAAGUGUCCUCACUGGCCGAGAAAAGAAAAGAGAAACUAAUAUGAAAAGUCAGAUGCCUUCUCCGCUCACCACUCUCAGUUUUCUGCAACUCAGCGUCUGUUAGAUUAAUACAUAAGAUAAUGUCAACUAUGGGAUAAUGUCGUUCUAUAUGCUUUUUUGUUUCUUUUAUUAAGCUUUUUAAUUGCCUUAUACGAAAAGAUGAAGAUAUGAAUGGCUUAUAGCUGUGUACUCCUGUUCCAUUUUCUCUCUGUUUUAGUUCUAUGGAGUGAGUUCCAUCACCUUGCUUCUGUUCUACUUCUUUCUGGUUCAGAUUCGUAGUAUUUAUUGGAACUGGAAUAAUGAAUGUGUUUAAUCCUCGUGCCUCUUCAGGUUCAUUAGUGUGUUUUUAUACAUAUAUACGAUAUAGAGAGCUUAAUUAGCUACUUGAGCAUGCUGUAACUUGCUUCUAGGUGGCUUAUAAGAAUAAUUUAUUUAUUUUUUGUUCUGGAUCUGAUUGUAACGAUUGGAAUGUGUAGGAUGUGGAAUUAUCUUAAUGCACGAAAAAUAGCGACGUGAUUAGUUUAUAGAUGAUUUCUAUCUACGAGAAGGUAGUUUAUACAUGUUAUACUUUUUAAAUGAUUUUAUAUGUUUUGGAAUAUACUCACAACUUUCUUUUCUUUCCAGGAGAAUUUGGUGCAUGCUAUGAUAAGUGGAUUGUUUCAAUCUUUGGGUGGAUGCUUUCAAUCUUUUACAGAUUUUAACCUUUUCUUUUGACCUACUUAAUUAUACGUGAAGUUUAAAGAUCUUGAGAUACUGUUAUUAGCUUCUGUUGUGCCAACAAAUCUAUCAAGGCCUCAGAUCUGCAUUGCAUGCUUUAGAAUUCAAUGAUAUAUCCUUAAACCAUAGAAAUUCAUAUGUUGAUAAGAAAAACAAAGGAAUUACGAAAUAUGUAUUUGGAUAUUGAAGGGAGAUUCUUCAGACCCUAAACAGAUCCUACUUGAGGAAAUUGGCACAAAGUUUCAAUAUGAUUCUAAGUACCAGAAGAGAAAUCAGUUCCAGAGAGGAAAGCUAAGGAAACUACUGCCGAGGAUACUAAUGUUAUUAAUCCUAUUUUUCGUUAAGUACUUGGAUUUUCAAUUCCUACUAUUAAUUACCAUAAUCUAGAAAUGAAAUGAAAUAGAUGUUAUUUAAUUCAUUGCAUGUUUCAAUAGCAAUUAAUGAAACAAAUGCCAAAAGCAACAAGUGCCAUGAAAAAAUGAAAGUGAUAAAGAUGCCGCAGGAGCAAAAGAGCAAGACAAUAAUAGAUUGAUGCAUUGCAGGGAAUGGAAAGAAGAUAAAAAAUAAAGAUGAUCAGAAGCUUCCGGAGCCACCCAAGGAUUAUAUUCAUGUUGGAGCAAGACGGGUCAGGCCACUGAUGCCCAUAGUCUUCCUGAAAGAGUAUGAACAUUUUUUGUGCCACAAUUACUUGCAGUAGUUCUACGUGAGUUUUUCUUUACUUUGUGCAGUAAGCUACUUUUCUAGCAAACCAACGCAUCCCCUUUGGUACAUCAGCAUAGGAUAUUUGGACCGAAACUAUGCAGAAUCCACCAGAUGGUGAUUCAUUAUGCUUCAGAUCGGCGGCCGAGGACAACUCUUUCUGACACAUAAGAUCAAGAAGUUUGUCUUGCACAUUAACUAUCCUGAGCAUGCCGAUUCAAGUUCAUACAUGAAUUGCAAUUUUGUUAUCCACUGUUCUGAUUGGUCGUAUCAUCAGGAUGUAAACUCCUCUAAAGCCACUAUUACAGCCGUCACAAAAUGGGAACAAGCUAAGGCAAACCUCGACUCUUGGACAUCAGGAUCUACAUGCCUUUGGAGUAGGAAGUGAAAAUUUAGCAGAUUUGGUACAUCAAUGGCAGUGCAAAGACAAUAGUGUCAAAAGAAGACAUUACAAACAUUAUGGAAAAUUUGACACUUAUAUACUGCAGAAGCUUUCCACUCUCACGAGAGGAAAGAAGACUAUGCUAAUCCACUGAAUUUAUUAUUAUAGAGCAUCAAAACAAAGGAGUUAACAUUAAAAACCCAAAAGGGUAUUGUGCCAUUCAGUGAGUUGUUAGUCAAAUCUAGUUUAUCUAGCUUUGAAAGCAUGCUCGCAUUGCUAGGCAGUGAACCAGAUAAGGAAUUACUCGACAAGUCUAAGAGCUCAAGACGUGUCAGGUUUAAGAUGGAAGAGGGAAUGGACCAAUGAAGUUGUUAAUAUAACAAUCCAAUUCAACUAGCUCUUGGAGGUUAGAGAAAACAUCGGGAUUUUUGCCUCUAAGGGAGUUAGAUGAAAGAUAUAAAUGUGUGAGCUGCUUCAAAUUAGAGAUUGUUGAAGGAAUAUGGCCAGUGAAAUUAUUAAGACUAAAAUAUAAGUCCCUAAGCUGGGUUAGGUUGCCAAUACAAUCAGGAAUCGAACCAGAGAAGCCACAGCCGUUGAGGUUCAAGUGACUCAAGGAACUCAAGGUGCCAAUUGAAUCAGGCAGCUCACCAGAGAUGCCUAUGUAUGAAAUGUCCAACUCCAAUAGAGUAGUGCUCGUGUGGAGCUUUGGUAAAACUCCUUUGAGAAGAUCAUUCCAACCCAAUUUGAGCCUUUCCAAGUUAGGAAGAAUAAAAAAGCUCUCUGUGAGAUUACCUUGCAAGAUGGCAUCUUCCAGAUCCACGUACCUUUAAAGAAGAAGACACAUUCAUAGGUAUCGGAGAUGAGAUGUUGACACUAAAGAAAGAAACUACCUCCAGAUAUGUGAAGUUUUGAGGCAGUGUUUCAAAUGUUCCCUGAUCAUGUUGUGAUUCAUGAAAACCAUUAAAAAAAAAAAAAAAAAAAAAAAAAGAUCAAGUGAAACCAAAUUGGAAAGGUAUGAGAUUUCUGUUGGUAUUUUACCAACAAAGUUAGAGUAAGAAAGGUUGAGAUGCCUCAAAUUCCUCAAGCAGCCAAUGCCAGUUGGAAUUGAAGAAAAAUUGAAGUCAUUGUCAGCAAGAGUUAGUCUCUGGAGAUGAUGGAGUUGGAAGAGGUUGUUGUUGGGAUGAAUACUUCCACCAAGAUGACUGCAACUAAGGUCCAGACCGGUAACAUAACCGGUUAACAAGUCACAAGUGACUCCAUCCCAAGUGCAACAAUCCCUACUCACAUCCAAAAUGUUGUUUUCGGGAAAGAAGAAGUACCACACGAAUAAGAGUUGGAGAUUUCAAAGGGUUUCUUAAAUUGAAGCAAAGCAGAAGCUUCGCUCGGAGAGCAAAGAUGAUGAAGAAAAGCUUUGGCUUAGAAAGACAAAAUAGAGACGUGAAUAAAAGAAAAAGAGACUUGCCAUUUUCUUUUUGUUUGUUUUCAGCAAAUAACAGAAUGUUUCUUACAAAAUCAAUUAUUACAAUCCAUACAUAUUUAUAGCUAUAUCAACACCUCAUUUCACUUGACUUGGGGCAA
Long non-coding RNA from Lycium ferocissimum, 4041 nucleotides. RefSeq lists it as uncharacterized. Lineage: Eukaryota; Viridiplantae; Streptophyta; Magnoliopsida; Solanales; Solanaceae. The record is from RefSeq and is a predicted model, not a curated record. The transcript is spliced from 7 exons.